Non-coding RNA from Mycena rebaudengoi, 97 nucleotides. Lineage: Eukaryota; Fungi; Basidiomycota; Agaricomycetes; Agaricales; Mycenaceae. The record is from the annotation of a GenBank genome assembly.
GCCCUUGUGGAUGAGAUGGUACAUCACCCACUCCGGGUUUGGACGUGGUCUACGUGUGUCGAAGUGGAAGGCGGGGGUUCGAAUCCUCCCGAUGGCA